GGACGCAUCACUGGUGUUCGGGUUGUCAUGCCAAUGGCACUGCCCGGUAGCUAAAUGCGGAAGAGAUAAGUGCUGAAAGCAUCUAAGCACGAAACUUGCCCCGAGAUGAGUUCUCCCUGAGACUUUAGGUCUCCUGAAGGAACGUUGAAGACGACGACGUUGAUAGGCCGGGUGUGUAAGCGCAGCGAUGCGUUGAGCUAACCGGUACUAAUGAACCGUGAGGCUUAACCUUACAACGCCGAAG
This 244-nucleotide ribosomal RNA is filed under the name Salmonella enterica subsp. enterica serovar Derby. RNAcentral describes it as "partial 23S ribosomal RNA". It matches the Rfam family "Bacterial large subunit ribosomal RNA", at positions 2699 to 2925 of the family's 2925-position model. RNAcentral also lists the same sequence under 7 other names. The record is from RNAcentral. Lineage: Bacteria; Pseudomonadati; Pseudomonadota; Gammaproteobacteria; Enterobacterales; Enterobacteriaceae.